UACAGAGGGUGCGAGCGUUGUCCGGAAUCACUGGGCGUAAAGGGCGCGUAGGUGGUGGCUUAAGCGUGCGGUGAAAGCUCGGAGCUCAACUCCGAGUCGGCCGUGCGAACUGGGCUCACUGGAGCAUAGUAGAGGCAGGUGGAAUUCCGGGUGUAGCGGUGGAAUGCGUAGAGAUCCGGAAGAACACCGGUGGCGAAGGCGGCCUGCUGGGCUAUGGCUGACACUGAGGCGCGACAGCGUGGGGAGCAAACGGG
RNAcentral lists this ribosomal RNA (254 nucleotides) under uncultured bacterium. RNAcentral describes it as "partial 16S ribosomal RNA". It matches the Rfam family "Bacterial small subunit ribosomal RNA", at positions 524 to 776 of the family's 1533-position model. The record is from RNAcentral.